AAUGAGUCGUCUAUGUAUCUUGAUUAAAAAUCAAAAAUAGUAUAGAUUUAAAAAAUUUACCAAAAAAGGAGAUAAGCUAAGAUGAUGCUAUUACAACAAAUAUUUCAAAAGCUAUGUUGCAUCUAAUACGUCUAAUGGGGCCUAAAUAAGACUAGCCCAACAUCUCAAUACUUUACUAAGUUUUAGGGUUUCUGUUCCUUUUAUAACAAACGAUCGACAGCAACUCGAGAAAACACACACACAACCACAAAGGAAAAAAGAACAGAGUCUUUUAAGGUGGAUUGGACUUAUUUGUUUUCAUCGAUCUUGGUUUGAAAAAAAACAUG
RNAcentral lists this long non-coding RNA (326 nucleotides) under Brassica napus (rape). Its description in RNAcentral is "long non-coding RNA (BNAP_LNC010562)". Lineage: Eukaryota; Viridiplantae; Streptophyta; Magnoliopsida; Brassicales; Brassicaceae. The record is from RNAcentral.